This 776-nucleotide ribosomal RNA is filed under the name uncultured Neocallimastigales. RNAcentral's name for it is "partial large subunit ribosomal RNA". It matches the Rfam family "Eukaryotic large subunit ribosomal RNA", at positions 18 to 622 of the family's 3401-position model. The record is from RNAcentral. Lineage: Eukaryota; Fungi; Neocallimastigomycota; Neocallimastigomycetes; Neocallimastigales.
UAGACGAUGCGUCAUGCAUAUCAAUAAGCGGAGGAAAAGAAACUAACAAUGAUUCCCUUAGUAACGGCGAGUGAAGCAGGGAAAGAGCUCAAAUUUGAAAUCUUCAAGGUUUUACCUUGACGAAUUGUAGUUCAAAGAAGUGUUUUCUGUUGAAGUUUUGGUAAAAGUUCUUUGGAAUAGGACAUCAUAGAGGGCGAGAAUCCCGUAUUUGACCAUUAUUUUCAGCUGUGUGAUACACUUUCAAAGAGUCGGAUUGUUUGGGAAUGCAGUCCAAAAUGGGUGGUAAAUUUCAUCUAAAGCUAAAUAUUGGCGAGAGACCGAUAGCGAACAAGUACCGUGAGGGAAAGAUGAAAAGAACUUUGAAAAGAGAGUUAAACAGUACGUGAAAUUGUCAAAAGGGAAGCGUUUGACACCAGUGUUGUUUUCUCGAAAAUCAAUUAAAAAGAGUUAGAUUUUGUUGUGUAUUGACCUUAACAGCUUGCAUUUCAAUUUUCUUGCUUUUUUUAAUGCACUUUUCGUUUAACAAGUCAACAUCAGGUUUCUUUUGUUGUAAAAAGGUCAUUGGAAGGUGGCUUUCUUUUCGGAGAAAGUGUUUAUAGCCUUUGACUCCUGCAAUCGGAGAGACUGAGGUCUGCAGCGUAGAUCCUUCGGGGUUAGAUACAUUUGUGCUAAGUUAUAGCUUUUUAUAGACAACUUGUUGACUAUGAUUAGUCUUGUAGCUUACUCGCUUAUGCUAUUUUACCUACGCUUAGGAUGUUGAGUCGUAGAGCACGCAG